CCCUGAUUGCCUCCGACGAAUGUGGUCUCCGCGACCGAUAUCGGCGGUAAUAAUGUGCGUAGAGAGCUCCUGCUGGGAACAUGCCAUCUUACGGGACAGCCAAACAAAUGAACUUACUACGGAUCGUCCUCUUCGAGGAAGUGACUUCUGCUCUGACAUGGGCGAGAUGUCUGAAGAAGUGCUCGACGUACCGUGAUAAAUGAAAUCGGAAACGGCCCGAACUAGAAGUAAAAUUUUAUUAUUAAGGUAUCAUUUUAUGAACGAGUUGGAUGGAUGAUUACGCAUACUGUGUUUGAGUUUGCCCGCGUCCAGUUGGUUGGAAGACUCUGUGCGAGAGCUCGUCAACUGGUCCGGGUCAGACUCGCUCUCGUCGGUCUCGACAUCGCCCGGAGUUUGUUGCUUUCUCUGCUGUCGUCUCCUCGAGGAAACGCUCUUCAUGCUCUGUGAAUAUAACACGAUAUGUGGAGGGCUUGCGCACCCUUCGGUCAUGGCGUGCUCGUGAUACAUGAAACUGUGUAGCAGAGUGUUGUUCGGGUGGAGGCCGGCUGCUGAAGCUUCCGCCGCGCCUCCCAGUCCUCCCAACCCUCCCAACCCUGCCAGGCUUCCCCCGCCACCCUCCGAAAGCUGGAACGUAGCGUACGGCGAGAUGUCCUCCGCUGUCUCUGUAACCCACCAGAGGCAUUGCCUACCUUUCAAAUCGCGUUGGGAUGAAUUUUUUAUGUGAGAAUCGAUUUUUAUCUGCUCUACUAUAGAAUGAUUUUACUUUCAUUUUGUAAUUUCUCUGUUAUAAUUGCUAACGUGAACUAUGAUUCUUGAGAAGCAACUGAUUUCUUGAGGAGAAUAUCACGAAACUAUCAUCAUCAAUCAAACGCACCUCUGUGAAAUUUUGGUUUAUUCUGUUAAUAGAUGUUUUUGAAAGUAUAGAAUAAAAUAUCCAAUAAUGCAAUUACAAUAAUAUUCUUUUAUAUCAGAAUAUAUUUUUUUAUAAUAUUCUCCUGAGAGCAGAAUUGACAAACACAGAAUUGACUACAAAUCUCUCUAAUGAGUUCUUGUCGCUAUUAAUUUAGAAAUUUUAGUGAUAUUCUAAGUGAUACAGUUUCUAAAAAGUUACAGAGGGUGGUUGAUGAAGGCAGAAGCAAUGCAUGAUGAAGUGUCGAAUGAAAUAUGCGGUGGAACACGAGUGAAACAUUCAAGAUCGGUCGCAUAAAGGGUAAAAAGAAAAAAGACGAUGAUCUAUGGUGAUGAGAGGAAGAUGUAAAAUAAUCCACCUUUGCUUUGUGAACUGCAAUCGAACGCUAACGGGUCUGCCCACUUUGGUUGAACAGCGCUACGCGUGCGAUUUUCUUUUACCUGAACAACAAUUAUAGUACCAAACCUGGCUGUCGUCCGUAUCGUAACAAAGGUUCACCUGGAAUCUUGUCGGGCCCUCCACCCGUAUUCGCCGCUUGUUGUAAAGCCACCUUGUGAAUCGUCGCGUAGUAACGCUCUCUUUGGGUUUCGGCAUUCUGUUGAUUCUCUUGGGUUUCUUUCAUGGGACGCUGCAUUCUGUCUCCGAGAUAUCCUUAUAUAUAAAUAGAAAUAAAAUAUGUAUGUACUUUAUAUGAAUAAAUAGGAUUUAUUUACAAUAUAUCUAUCGCCGAUCUAAAUUGUCUCAUGAUCCAUUGAUUGUGAGUUUCACCAAGUGGAACAUCAAUAUCUCAUGGGUUAUAUGCAAGAUGAAACAUUAUUAUGAAAUAUAGAUAAUCAAAUAUCACAGUAAUUUAUUUUA
Long non-coding RNA from Bombus pascuorum, 1768 nucleotides. RefSeq lists it as uncharacterized. Lineage: Eukaryota; Metazoa; Arthropoda; Insecta; Hymenoptera; Apidae. The transcript is spliced from 3 exons. The record is from RefSeq and is a predicted model, not a curated record.